RNA transcript from Salvelinus fontinalis (brook trout), 2775 nucleotides. RefSeq lists it as uncharacterized. NCBI's taxonomy places the organism in Eukaryota, Metazoa, Chordata, Actinopteri, Salmoniformes, Salmonidae. The transcript is spliced from 2 exons. The record is from RefSeq and is a predicted model, not a curated record.
GCGUUUCUCUGGUUACGGAUCACCAGCCAUUGCUUUCCAUUUUCAGUCCAAAGAAAGGCAUUCUGGGAAUGCCAGCAGCCAGGUUACAACGAUACGCCUUGUUCCUCCCAGUCAUAUGAAUGACAGCAGCCAGGUUACAGCGAUAUGCCUUGUUCCUCCCAGUCAUAUGAAUGACAGCAGCCAGGUUACAACGAUAUGCCUUGUUCUUCCCAGUCAUAUGAAUGACAGCAGCCAGGUUACAACGAUAUGCCUUGUUCCUCCCAGUCAUAUGAAUGACAGCAGCCAGGUUACAGCGAUAUGCCUUGUUCCUCCCAGUCAUAUGAAUGACAUUGAGUUGAAGCCGUCGUCCCUCCACACAAAUGCAGAUGGAUUAUCCAGACUGCCGUGUACAAGAGAAAGACAAAGGAGUGUGGAUGCAGUGGACAUUUUCCAUACCGCUCAGCUCGAGGCACUACCGGUCACAAGCACAGUUAUCAAACAGGAGACAAGGAAAGAUGUGACCUUGUCAAAAGGGUUCACCUACACCAUGUCAGGAUGGCCAGCUACAGGCAGAGAGGAGCUGACUCCGUAUUUCCAGCGGAGAAACGUAAUUACAACGUACCAAGGAUGUUUGAUGUGGGGAAUGAGAGUCAUGAUACCCCAGAAAUGCCAACAUCAGCUUUUGCAGCAACUACAAGAAGGUCAUGUUGGAAUUUGAAAUUGUCAAUUUCUUGUAUUCAGAGUCUUUCUUAUUAUAUAAAUAAUAAGAGCUAAAACACUACAUAUGGGAUAUAAGAAACAAAAGCUGUGUGUCGCGUCGUCAUUUAUAUUAUAACAAUAAUUCAACAUAGUAAGUUUGUAUGACGAUCUGGUUAUUAAAUGGGAAACCAGUUUAAAGACAGUUAAAUAGUAGCGUGCUUUAAACCGCUUUGGUGACGAACGUUGCUGCCCUGUUUCCAAUCGUCCACAUUGAUGCUGUAUGAACCUAUUCAAGUAAGUAAAUACACUUUGGGGAAAAGACUAUACCCGUGUUCGAAUACCCAUAACAUACUGUAUACUACAUAUUAAAUGAGUGUAUAUACUAUUAGUUAAUUUUAGGAAACUAAACGAACGGUAUCCUUCCAAUUCGUUAGUUGAUGCUGUUACUAUGCAACUUAUUGCUAGCUUGUUAGUAAAAACAAAUAAGACCUCUUACAACUUCAUUAACAAUGUCCAUUAAGAACGCUCAACGACUAACGGAAUUAAAUAUCACCAGUUACCUAACUUCAUAAUGGCUAUCAUGAUGUAAUUGUAAAACAAACUCCAAAUGCAUUUGUAGGUAGCUAGCUAACAGCCAUGGAAGAGAGUGAAAGGAUAGCUGCUCCAACUGUUAAAGAAGGUAGAGUAGGCUAUUCUGGUUGGGCAGGUACUGUUGUGUAGUUCCACUCCAUAGUAAGAAGUGAGGACGGAGAUAAUAGUAACAUAAUAUUCAGUGCGGUCUAAUUUUAGUAUAAUGAAGUCUGUUUUCUGUCCUCAGAUACAGAGCUGUAAAACAUUGUCUGCAGAUGAAGAGCAAUGGUUCCCAGUCCUGUUCCUGGGAUGCCUUGCAACUUGAGAUUUCUUCAAAACGAUUGCCUACAGUCACUGUGUAGGGCACUGCACAGUUGGGUGACCAGGGCCACCUGGUCUCGUGGGGGAUUUCAGGCAUCUGUGAAGGCUACCUGUGUCCUGCAUAACUUCAUGAUGAUGAACAGGAGGGGACCUGCAGCUCUCCACCAUGUGCCAGAGGAGAGGUCUGCUGCUCACCACCAUGUGCCAGAGGAGAGGUCUGCUGCUCACCACCAUGUGCCAGAGGAGAGGUCUGCUGCUCUCCACCAUGUGCCAGAGGAGAGGUCUGCUGCUCACCACCAUGUGCCAGAGGAGAGGUCUGCUGCUCACCACCAUGUGCCAGAGGAGAGGUCUGCUGCUCACCACCAUGUGCCAGAGGAGAGGUCUGCUGCUCACCACCAUGUGCCAGAGGAGAGGACUGCUGCUCUCCACCAUGUGCCAGAGGAGAGGUCUACUGCUCUGCAGGAUAUUGCCAGGAUGGGGGCCAACAACGCAGCACAGGAGGCAAUCUGUGCAGGAGACCUUCACCUCCUACUUCUUCAAAGAGGAUGCUGUUCCCUGGCAACACCAGACUACACUAUGCACAACCAAAGGCUCUUUUAAGAGCCAUCCACAUUGCAAUAAGUGUAUUCUUCCAUUUACUUAGCUAUGUCAACUGCAGUUAUUCAAUAAGUCUCUGACUUAUUUUCUCUAAGUCUCCUUCACUCCAUCCCUUUCUCCCAUAAUCCUCUAGGUCAGUGGUUCCCAAACUUUUUAUAGUCCUGUACCCCUUCAAACAUUCAACCUCCAGCUGUACCCCCUCUAGCACCAGGGUCAGCACACUCUCAAAUGUUGUUUUUUGCCAUCAUUGUAAGCCUGCCACACACACACUAUAUGAUACAUUUCUUAAACAUAAGAAUGAGUGUGAGUUUGUCACAACCUGGCUCAUGGGAAUUGACAAAGAGCUCUUAUAGGACAAGGGCACAAAAUAAUAUAAUAAAUUCAAUAAAUUUGCUAUUUAUUUAACCAUCUUACAUAUAAAACGUGUUUUUGAAAUGUGAAUCACAUUUUUGUUUGGGAAUACCUGCUGUAGGUUAUAUCAGCUGUGUCGGUGAACCCCUCCCGCAUCUUAACUGGCUACAUAGAGGGUACAGCAUGAUCAGAGGUGAGAGGUCACUUGGUUGGGUCUAUAGGAAGUAUUAUUAAAGAGAUGCUUUACAUUGAAAUACA